This is a long non-coding RNA of Mesocricetus auratus (golden hamster), 1240 nucleotides long. RefSeq lists it as uncharacterized. Lineage: Eukaryota; Metazoa; Chordata; Mammalia; Rodentia; Cricetidae. The record is from RefSeq and is a predicted model, not a curated record. The transcript has 2 exons.
UAGCCUGCUCACCCACAAGCCGUGGAGUAGUUACAGACAUCAGGAAAGCUCGGGAGUUCCAGAGGCAGCUGCUACAGCAGCCUGAUGGGAAGGGAGGGGAAAGGAAAACGUAGCCCAAAAUAGAAAAGUGUGCUUUAAGUGGAUAAUGGCUGAGCAGAUCCCUGCUGUCCGAAGCUGCUUCUCUCCAGAGCCACCUUUUAGCGAUUUGAUUUCACCGCUAAACUGUUUGCCCGGAAACACAGCCUUGGAUUCCCAUGAGCCUCUGCUUCCAUAACAAACUUGUCAACUGAUCAACGCCUAACCUUUCCCACUGGUGCUUCUGUUGAAGAGCUCUUUAUUGAGUACUCACUGCCGACACCCCCACUAGUAGCUCAUGCUACAGCGUGCACACUUUAAUUCUGUGAGGAAGAGAUUCUGCUCUUGGUGCUGACAUCACGGGUUCACCAUCUAAAAGAGACAACAACAGACCUCCAGGAAACAGCUGUGAGGAUUUAACGUUGGGAUAUAAAAAUAAAAUGAACAAAUACUGGGGAAAAAAGGUACACAUUUGUGUAGCGCUGGUUAGCACUUAUUUAUGUAGCACCUGUUAGGAGAGAACUCCUCACACAGACUAGGUAACUCAAGCAUCAUGAAGUGAAAAUGUUUCAGUCCCACAAUUUCUUCCAUUUAUGGCAAAGACAAAUCUUGUCGUCAGAAUAUGAGCAAUAGCCCAGAAGGUGUAUCUCAAAUCAAUAUUGUAAUUAUUGGGGUUCACCUAACCCCCAUACUUGAAAUAUUCUGAGUAUUUGGGUUCUGUCUGGGAGUGACUGUCUCCUACACUCUUUCUGGUCUCCCUGGUGACCUUCUUCAGCCGCAGCCACCACCUCCUAUCUCCAGGCCUGGAGAGCACGAGAACUCAUUCUCAGCAGCCCCUGUGUCUCCAGGAGCUCCCGUGUGAUCCCAAGGCACCAAGUGUUUCCCACACCUCUACAAUUCCACUCAUACCUUUGCCACUUCCUGAGAGACAAAUCCGUGCUUCCAACGACCAGCUGGCACCUUCCUAUUGGCACUGCAAUCUCAGCGAGUUCAAGGAAACUUUGGGUGUCCAUUCUUGUCUGCUCUAUACCGGUGACAUUCGUCUUAGUAACUAACACAAGCUUUUGUCCAAACCCCAAACCCAAGACUUAUCCUGGCUGCUGUAAAAAAAAACAAAAACAAUCUAACCUUCCAUGUCCAACCUAGAAAAAUGGCUUUGCUGUGU